Molecule: long non-coding RNA, 478 nt
Organism: Bos taurus (domestic cattle)
Lineage: Eukaryota; Metazoa; Chordata; Mammalia; Artiodactyla; Bovidae
Source: Ensembl
GCUCAGCCCUCCCACCCAGGCUCAGGACCCCUUCCUGGCUCAGGUCCUCCUCCUUCUCACCCUUCGGGGCAGCCCCUCCCCAGCAAGGCUCCCUGAUGCUCCAGCACAGAGCCAUCCUGUUACUUCAAGCUCUCCCGGUGCACAUGCUCCUUGGUGGCAUUAUCACAGGAAAUCCUAGUAAGGAACAUGGAACUAAGUCACCAUCAACCAGAAGAGUUCAGGAAAGGUCAAAAGGAGACACCACGUGUCCAACCACCUCCUAGAAUGCUUCUCGCUGGCAUCCAUCUUGGCUGAGCAAUGCAUGUGCCACCAGGAAGGAUUCUGAGUCAGAUGAUUGGUCAAAGAAAACCCGGAAACUAAUCCCAUCACCAUAAAACCCGAGACUGCGAGCCACGUGGCAGAGCAGUUCUCCUGGGUUCCCUUACCCUGCUGCCCUCCACCCAGGCGCCCUUCCCAAUAAAGUCUCUUGCUUUGUCAG